CACCCCAAUAAGUUGAACGCUUGUUAUAACGGUGACAUUAAUAUUUUUUGAUCCUCUUAACCGGAGUAGUCAUCUCCACCCUUGAGUAUCAUGAGCUCUUCACUCUUCUUUCUCUUCCAUCUCUCAUGUGUAUCACGCAUGCUCAGAACUGAUAUUAGCAAAAGUAAACCCCCAAAACUCAUUUAGCGUUUGUUACUCUAGAACAGCCCAUUUUUGCCUAAAAUUGAAGCCAUAUUUAAUGUUUUAUUAUCAUAUUUUUUGAAAGGAGUAGUAUGUUUUACUCAUACCAAGUACCAUUAUUAUGUUUUUUUGAUAAUUAAAUAUCUUUUUUUAUUUGCAAGAAAUUCGUUUUGCCACCACAAUUAAGUCACCCAUGCCAGCCCGCAUCCUUACAUAUCUAGCUAUCCUAGUUUGCACAAAUAGGUUAAUAUGCCGUGGAAUUAAUGAAUUUGUUGCAUACCAUCCCCUUUCAAACU
This 476-nucleotide long non-coding RNA is filed under the name Phoenix dactylifera (date palm). RNAcentral describes it as "long non-coding RNA (PDAC_LNC013625)". Lineage: Eukaryota; Viridiplantae; Streptophyta; Magnoliopsida; Arecales; Arecaceae. The record is from RNAcentral.